This 722-nucleotide ribosomal RNA is filed under the name uncultured bacterium. RNAcentral describes it as "bacterial SSU rRNA". It matches the Rfam family "Bacterial small subunit ribosomal RNA", at positions 752 to 1501 of the family's 1533-position model. The record is from RNAcentral.
CACGAAAGCGUGGGGAGCGAACGGGAUUAGAUACCCCGGUAGUCCACGCCGUAAACGAUGGAUGCUAGCUGUUAGGAGUAUCGACCCUUCUAGUAGCGAAGCUAACGCGUUAAGCAUCCCGCCUGGGGAGUACGGUCGCAAGAUUAAAACUCAAAGGAAUUGACGGGGACCCGCACAAGUGGUGGAGCGUGUUCUUUAAUUCGAUGUUAAGCGAAGAACCUUACCAGGACUUGACAUCCUUGGAAUUUUUGGGAAACCAGAAAGUGCCUUUUGGAGCCAAGUGACAGGUGUUGCAUGGCCGUCGUCAGCUCGUGUCGUGAGAUGUUUGGUUAAGUCCAUUAACGAGCGCAACCCUUAUGAUUAGUUGGAUUUUUCUAAUCAGACUGCCUCGGCAACGGGGAGGAAGGAGGGGAUGAUGUCAGGUCAUUAUUACCCUUACGUCCUGGGCUAGAAACGCGCUACAAUGGCCGGUACAAAGGGCAGCCAACCCGCGAGGGGGAGCAAAUCCCAUCAAAACCGGUCCCAGUUCGGAUUGCAGGCUGAAACUCGCCUGCAUGAAGCCGGAAUCACUAGUAAUCGUAGGUCAGCACACUACGGUGAAUACGUUCCCGGGUCUUGUACACACCGCCCGUCAAACCAUGGAAGUCACCAACACCCGAAGUCCUAAUUUAUUAGGCCUAAGGUGGGGGGGAUAACUGGGGUUAAGUCGUAACAAGGUAACC